AGAGUUUGAUCCUGGCUCAGAAUCAACGCUGGCGGCGCGCUUAACACAUGCAAGUCGCACGAGAAAGUGGAGCAAUCCAUGAGUACAGUGGCGUACGGGUGAGUAACACGUGGAUCAUCUACCUCUUAGUGGGGAAUAACCCUGGGAAACCGGGGCUAAUACCGCAUAAGCUCGAGAGAGGAAAGCAGCAAUGCGCUGAGAGAGGAGUCCGCGGCCGAUUAGCUAGUUGGCAGGGUAAACGCCUACCAAGGCAAAGAUCGGUAGCCGGCCUGAGAGGGCACACGGCCACACUGGCACUGAAACACGGGCCAGACUCCUACGGGAGGCAGCAGUGGGGAAUCUUGCACAAUGGGGGAAACCCUGAUGCAGCGACGCCGCGUGAGCGAUGAAGCCCUUCGGGGUGUAAAGCUCUUUCGGCAGGGACGAUCAUGACGGUACCUGCAGAAGCAGCUGCGGCUAACUACGUGCCAGCAGCCGCGGUAAUACGUAGGCAGCGAGCGUUGUUCGGAGUUACUGGGCGUAAAGGGUGUGUAGGCGGUUGCUUAAGUUUGGUGUGAAAUCUCCCGGCUCAACUGGGAGGGUGCGCCGAAUACUGAGUGACUCGAGUGCGGGAGAGGAGAGUGGAAUUCCUGGUGUAGCGGUGAAAUGCGUAGAUAUCAGGAGGAACACCGGCGGUGUAGACGGCUCUCUGGACCGUAACUGACGCUGAGACACGAAAGCGUGGGUAGCAAACAGGAUUAGAUACCCUGGUAGUCCACGCCCUAAACGAUGCAUAUUUGGUGUGGGUCAUUCAGUUGAUCCGUGCCGGAGCUAACGCGUUAAAUAUGCCGCCUGGGGAGUACAGUCGCAAGGCUGAAACUCAAAGGAUUGACGGGGGCCCGCACAAGCGGUGGAGCAUGUGGUUCAAUUCGACGCAACGCGAAGAACCUUACCUGGGCUCGAACG
RNAcentral lists this ribosomal RNA (945 nucleotides) under uncultured bacterium. Its description in RNAcentral is "bacterial SSU rRNA". It matches the Rfam family "Bacterial small subunit ribosomal RNA", at positions 8 to 987 of the family's 1533-position model. The record is from RNAcentral.